UAAUUUACCAUUUAGAGUAUUACAUACUGUUAAAACAUAAUGGGAGAACAACUUGUAUUGAGAAUGAUCCACAAGGAAAGAGAAUGGCAAAACUCUCAAGUUCACCAAGACUCGUCUGCUAGUCUCAUGGUUAGGAUUUCAAUCUCACAAUUACCAUUUCACAUAUUUGAAUCUCCAUGAGCACUAGCAACAACCAUUGAUGCACAAGUUUUCAAAUGCUUGAAGAAGACAUGUGCUUGUUCUUCUAUCCUCCAAAAAUUUCAAAUUCAUGAAUUAGUCAACUAUAGGAAGCUUUCGGAUGAAACCGGGCCCAUAUCCUAAAAUUCAAAACAGAGGCAAUAAAAUAAUAAGAGAGAGCAUAGGGGAGUUGAAUUACCAAGAGACAAAUGUGUAAUUAAGUAUUUGCUUAGAUGCAUUUACUGUUUUAUAUUUUUAAAAGGAGAAAAUAGCUUGUUUAUAUAAAAUACAAAAAAAAUUAAAGACUUACAUUCACAUGAUAAUAGUUUUAAAAAUUGUUUAAAAUUUUGAAGUAUUAAAAAUGUUUUCUUACCUCAAAUUUUAAAAUUUUUUGAUGUAAUUUUAAAAAAAAUAAAAGGUAAGUCUACUUUUUGUACAAGAGUUUCUACUUUUUAUAUAGAAAUAAUUCUUAUUUUUGUUUUUUUCUCUCUUAAAAGUAUAUCUAAACAAGAUCAAAGACUGCAUUAAAACUUCAUCUUGUCAUAAUGAAUAUACCGUCUAAAGUAAGCCACUAAAUAAUAUGAAUCCUUUGCUCUUUACCACCUCAUUGUAGAUUGAAAUUUCAAAUUUGUGCUCGAUUCCAAGGCUUUUGAGAAGGAUUCCUCACUCCCAAGAGUACUUUAGAAGAUGAAUCCCUAUGUUAAUUGCAAAAAAACAUCUAGUGAGUAAUAAUGUGAAUUCAUCCUAUUCUUAAGACAAACUUUGUCACAAGUAUCUAUAGUACGAAUGCUCACAAAUUAUCAAACUUACAAUUAUUCAUGUGAAGGAAAAUCCACCCAAAGUAUCCUGAUUUCUCAAAAACAGAGUCAAUUAGGAAUAUGACCUGGUUGUAGGAGCUUCCUAUAGAGCAGAUAAUAUUCAAAAUAAUUGUCAUUUUUAAAGAUUAAGCUUGAUCCACAGCACAAAAUAUUAAAAUUAUAACUAUUCCAUAUAUGGAAAGAAAACAUCUCAAAAGCAAACUUAGAAGAUAAAAAUAGAUAUAAAAUAAAUUUUUGCAUAGAAUUGAAUAAUUUUUUUCAUAGACUCUAAAAAGUAGAUAAGACAAAAAUAAAUUUCACUUAAAGGACACACUUCUAGAAUUCUAAAAGAGCAUAUAGUAUUUUCAUAUUAGACUUGUUAUUCACCCAAUUGAAUAUGACAAGAAAACAAGCAGAAUAUAGUAAUAGUUACCUACCUCAGCUAGAGCUUAUUACAAGCUUUGACCGUUUCACUUUGGGACAGUGAGGUUGUAGUUCUAACUCAUUGAGCUCCUUUGUUAAGACCACCUGCCCAUACCAAAUUAACGAAAGGGAAAAAAAGAAAUAACUUAAAAUCCUUUUUUUUUUUUUUGGGUUUGCGUGUGUCGUAAGGGUGUAAUUCACCAUAAAACAUCUUGUAAAAACUGAAGAAACCUUAUAUGUAAUACAUGACCCGAACUUGCUAAGAAUAUUGUCACUAUCAUUGUCCUAUCAAUUCAGUUUGUGAUGUACUAGCUCAAUUGCCUGUUAGAAUGAUUCAAGUAAUGAAUAACUUUCCAUUAGUAUUUGGUAAAAUAGAAUAAAUACCAUCAAAAUAUUCAAAUAUGCUCACAGUUCAUCAUAGUGUGAGAGUUGAUUGCAUUUCUUUCAUUCCAUAAGAAUCUCCACUUUUUAGUCCUACUAUGAUGGGGAAAUUAAAUUAGGUUAUACUUACCAAUCAAAAAAAUCAGAAAAACUAGUUUCAAAUUUAAGGGAGAGGUACAAGAAAAUACUGUUGUCAUAAAAUAGAAUAAAAUAUUAAGAAGCAAAAUCAAAGUUUUGAGGAAAAUGCCAAUUCACUUCCUAUAAAUUUGACAAAUCUUGUUUGAAAAUCUGAAAUGUGUUUAACCUUUUCUAUAUUUUUAAAUAUUUUUUUAAAUAACUUUAAUUUGUAAAUACUUAAUUUUCAAUCAUUCUCCAUAUUUGUAUAAUUAUUUUAAAAACAAUAUUUAGAAAAAAGUUAAAACCACCAAAAACAAUUAAAAUAUAUUCUUGGAAAACACUUUGUUUUUUGUUUUCUGAUUAUCAAACAUGUUAUGACUUUUUUUUUUUUUGUUAAAAAUAGAAAACCAUUUUUGAAAACAACUCCAAACACACCCUAAGGCUCUUUUAGCUUGUUGCCUUGUAUGCAUAAGCAGAAAAAAGGAACAAAAGAUGAGAAACAAGGUGUUCAACUAUAUUUCCUAGUAGUUUCAAAGGUUUGAUGAGAAAUGCUACAUGCUAAAAUGAACCAUAUUACUAGGCAAUUGAAAAGUUUGAGAGAGUGAUACCUCUUGCUUUUUUGUAGUGCAUAUUUCCAAGCAAAGGGAAGAAUAAAUUAGGGAGCAUGCCUGAGUGAUUAAGGUACACAGUAAAAUCAAAUAAGAGGCUUCAUUAGCAUAAUAAGAUGCAAAUUUGGUUUAAAAUCAAACAGAACUCAAGCAAAAUCUUAAUUACCUUGUAUUUAUUAAUGGUGAUGGAAAUAGUAUUCUGGCUUUAAGCAAAAUGAACCACCAGAUGUAAGGCCCCUUGCAUCAUGAAAUUGAAGCAUAUUGAAAACGGAAAAAAGAAAGAAAGAAACAAUGCAACAAGACUUUUAAUAGGUGUAUCAACCAUGUAUCUCUAUGUGAAAUUAUUGCCAUGUGAAGCUGGUGGCAAAUUCGAUUGGGCUUAAAACUCUUUUUGGACCUGAUUUAAAUUUUUUUUUAAAAUUUACAUGGCCUAGAAUGAUGCAUUUAGUACUGCUCUUUCAUGUUUAGGAUAUUUACCUUUGCAGAUGCUAAUAAGCCGCAUCAAUGGCCAUGAAUUUUGCUUUCAUCUACAUCAGUCCCUUUGAUUGCCAUCCUGCAUCUAAAAAGUAAAUUCCAUCAUUAUCAAGAAGCAAAAGCAAUAUUUUGAGUUAGAAAUGGAGAUUGUUUUUUAUAUCAGACUUACAAUUCAAUAGACUAAUAAUCACCUGUGUUUGGAAGAGGAUAGUCCCAAAUACCUUAAAUAGGUUUGUUUGUAAAAAUCUUCCUCUGCACCAUAUCCAACCCAAGAUCUAUAGGCUGACCAACGAAUGUAAUCAUAAGCAGGUUGUUUUUCCAACUCUUUUUGACUGCUUUUCCAUGUUGAUAUGAUUAAAAAGGCAUGGCCCAGUAGCCAUUUUAUUUUAAAAUUAAAAUAGGAAAUAUAAGAUAAAAAAUGAAAAUAGCAUAUGUACCAUGCUUUUCCUAGGCCCUUUCAUCUUCUUUUCACCAUCACCAUAUUAGAGAAUGAACAACCAACACCACAUUCACUUCAGACAUGGAAUCUGCAGGAUGAAACUCAAUAUUCCUUUCUGUUAGCAUAAUAAUGAAAAAGAGUUAUAUGUUUUCAAUGUAAAAGGCAAAAAAAAUAAAAUCAAGAGCAUUUCAUUUUGAAUAUAUAUUCAGAAAUUUUUUUAAUGCAAAUAUAAAUUGUUGCACACAACUGAUGAAUUAGAGAACUAAAUUUCCAAUCAGAUAGAAGGAUGGAUGUGAGCAACAAGAGAAAAGAGCAACUAUCAUCAAUUGGGGUACUUGAUUGACCUUUUUACUGCUGUACAAUGCAAUCUAUCUCCAGAUAUGGGAGGAUAUGAGCAAUUUAGGGCCAUUCUUUUCCUUUGUUCUUCAUGAACCUCCUUUUUAGAAUAGGACAUCUCUCUUGAUUAUGUAAUGUU
This 3891-nucleotide long non-coding RNA is filed under the name Vitis vinifera (wine grape). Its description in RNAcentral is "long non-coding RNA (VVIN_LNC006840)". The record is from RNAcentral. Lineage: Eukaryota; Viridiplantae; Streptophyta; Magnoliopsida; Vitales; Vitaceae.